Molecule: long non-coding RNA, 253 nt
Organism: Rana temporaria (common frog)
Lineage: Eukaryota; Metazoa; Chordata; Amphibia; Anura; Ranidae
Exons: 3
Source: RefSeq, a predicted model, not a curated record
UCUUUUACCAGGGGAUCAUGAGAAUCUACUCCAGCAUGACAUGAAAAACAUGUUAUAUUCCGCUCUCUCCAGAUGAACAGAAUUAGCUAAUCGCUAUAUGUACCAACAGGAAUCAGAAGUCGGGGUAGGAUUAUAUCACAAAAGGCGCUGGAAGAGCUCAGCCAAGACGGUGACACAAACAUUUCCAGGACUGCAGUGAUCGUGCACGCUAGCAUCCGACACAAAAUUUAAGCAAUGUUAUACUUACAAAAUG